Molecule: long non-coding RNA, 7828 nt
Filed under: Homo sapiens (human)
Lineage: Eukaryota; Metazoa; Chordata; Mammalia; Primates; Hominidae
Description: HSALNT0020710
Source: RNAcentral
GGGAUAGGCUACACGAGUUCAGGACUGGCUCGCUGGUUAUUGCAAUGCGUACAGAAGUUGCAUCUUAAUCCUCUACCAUAAACAUGGCCCUUUGGUGAGUCAGAGAACAGCUUCCUGGAAGGGUAAGACAGUGGUAGUUUCUGACACACCUGUCAUUUUGAUCCUCCUGGAACGAUUUGCUGUCAUUCCAGAAGGUAUGCAUCCCCAUCACAGAAGAAAGAAAAAAACAUUUCUGAUGCCCCCUCUUCUGGCUGGAUAGAAGCCCAAGACUCUGACCCAGGUCAGGGCCUGGGAACUGAGACUGGAGUACUGCAGUUAGUGGGGCUGGAGGGAACACCAAAGGAGGCCUGAAGUCUGAGUCCCAGGAAAAGACUCAAUACAAAGAGGUAUCUGCAAUCCUUGACUUCAGCUGAUGCCUGCACACUGCGAAAGAAGCCCAUGUUCUUGGUAGUAGGAGGUACCAUGUAUGGUAAUUCAGAGUGUAAGAGGAAGAAAGGUCCCCUGGACUUGGUAUGAGAGUAGAAGUCUGCUUGCUGGACAUCCUUUGAAGAUAGAGAGAUGGAGAGUGAGCUACUUAGGUUGGACUCAUGUGGAUAAGAGAGGAGACAAGCACUAUGGGCUAGGCUAGAAGAACGUACGCUGAGUCCUUUCCAGGAAUCUGCUAGAGCAAAGCGAGGUGGAAUUGCAAAGGAUUUCAGAGGUUCUUGGAAGCCCAGAAAAAAGGAGCUGAACAUGCCUUUGCCAGAAAGCCACAAGUGGGAAACCUCAAAGAAUGGAAGAGGACUUGCUAGGUGCCAUACUUUAUGCGCACUAUCUAAUUCCAGGUUCCAGGAUUACAUGUGCAGAACGUGCAGGUUUGUGACACAGGUAAACGUGUGCCAUGAUGGUUUCCUGCACCCGUCAACCCACCACCUAGGUAUUAAGCCCCACAUGCAUUAGCUAUUAGUUCUAAUGCUCUCCCUCCCCCCACCCCCCCCAACAGGCCCGGAUGUGUAAUGUUCCCCUCCCUGUGUCCGUGUGUUCUCAUUGUUCAGCUCCCAUUUAUGAGUGAGAACAUGUGGUGUUUGGUUUUCUGUUCCUGUGUUAGUUUGAUGAGGAUGAUGGCUUCCAGAUGUAGCUUAAUUUCAAACCCUAAACCCAUAAUCUGACUGAUAAAAGAAAACAAGUUACCUAGUCACUUCUAGGCAAGCUCAGCCCAAUUCAGUGAUCUCUCAGUCACUUCACUCCAGAUUUAAAAUUUAGCCUCAUUAUGGAGUUCCCUUCCUUUUUGUCUCCCUUCUCUCCCCUGGGGUCCAGUCUGGAGAGAGCGGUCUUGGGUGAGGGGGUGGUCAAUGUUACUGCUGAGGCAGUGAAAAGGGGUGGCCCAUUAUUAUUUUGGUCUUGCUUUGUCACGAUGCUGUGCUGGCCUUGGGCUCCAGAAGGAAAUAGUUUUGUCUACUGAGAUGUGACUUCCCCUGCUUGGUCAGUGGGCUUUGUCCCUGCUCAUCCUGAGGGUUCUGUGGUCCACACUGUGCCCUCCUAGUCCAUACACUGAGCUCCCUGGGGUGGGUCUUCCAGGCCCUCAGCCUCUCCUUGCCCACCUUGUGGGUGCAGGGUGAGUUUGGCUGAUCACAGACUCCUGAGGCCUUUGGGAGAUCCUGUGCAGCAGAGUCACAUUUUCCCCCAACACUCUUGUAACCUCCUGUGUGCCAGUGUUCCCAUAUAAUUGGGGGUACAAUGGAUAUCAGCAAGACUGUGGACCACCAAAGUUCUCUACAGGAUGGGCGAAGGUGAGGGCCCCUCAAUCUGGAGUUUUCAAGCCCACCUGGAUAUCUCUAUCAUUGUUAAUCCCCUCUCCCCUACUGUAGCCUGGACUCUGCCCCAUGGUGGUGGGUGGGAGGGCACCAAGACACAUCAGUAACUAAGCUCUCCUUUUUACUCUUCAGCAGUCUUUCUCCUCCCCAGUUCUGGGGUUAAUGUCUAGCAGGAGGAUGCGAGGGGAGACAAGAUAUGCAGGUGCAGAGAUGAGACAAGCCUGGUUCUGUCAGAUUAUAGCUCCUUUCAAAGGAUUCCCGAUUUAUACCUCUCUCCAUUUGAACUCAAUAGUCAAAAUAUUUGUAGGGUUUGUUUCUUCCUUCCCAAAGCAAGAAAUAAGUUGUGUCCAGUUGUCCAGGCUGGAGUAGAAGUCAAGGCAGGUUCACAGAACACUAGUGCAGAAAUUUGACGAGCAAAGGCUUGCAGGGAGGAAGGGGAGAACACUCAUUAAAUCAUUUCUUCUCAUGCUGCCUUGGUGGGCGUGGAGGACAGGUUGCAGAUUUCCUUCCCUGCUUUGCUAUUUCAUGAUGGUGGGUAAUUUACUAGAUCAUGUCCUGCUGCAUGUUUUCAAUAGUCUCCAAAACUGUCUUAGCUGACCCAUGUCAGACACACACACAUACACAUACACACACACACACCCCACAUACCUGGAGCCCACUGAUCCUACUGAUCCAGUUUACAGAAAGGGGAAAAUGAGAAGUAGAGCCCUGGGAAGAGGCAGGGAGUCAAAAAUCCUACGUCCUAUUCUGGGCUCAGCCACACGCCGGUGGUGUGAUUGGACUCACUUGCUUCCCCUCUCGCACUGUGGUUUCCCCAUCUGGAACCCAGUGGCCCUAAAAUAGUACUAUUUCUCAGCCCUGGGGGAGGAGGGACAGGCCAAGAGAGUCCAUUGCCCAAAUCAAUAAUAAUGAUGAUAACAGCAGUGAUUAUACUUUCCAAACUUACAACACUUCAUCUGCUCAACCCUCCCUGCUUCUUUUAAAGUAAUCAUACAAGAAAAUAUACCAGCAGAAGAACAGCUUCUCACUGGACUUUCCUGACUCUGGGACUCAGCAUAAGUCACUGUGGAACACCUUUGUUUUGUUCCUGAUUCUGCCUCUAAUUGCCGAGUGACCUUUGCCAGAUCACUUCAUCCUGUAGGUCUGCAGGAUUGUUUGUUCCAUCAGAGGACAGUGCCAAAUUGUUCCCAAGGCUCUUUCAGUUCUAGGAUUCUGUGUUUUGGUUGAGCACCGUAUUAGUUUCUGACAGCUGCUAUAACAAAUUAACACAACUUUAGUGGCUUAAGAAAACAGAAAUGUAUGCUCUUUCUGUUCUGGAGACCAGAAGCCUGAAAUCAAGGUGCCAGCAGGGCCACCCUCCAGGCUCUAGACGAUAAUCCGUUGCUUGCCUCUUCUAGCUUCUGGUUGCUGCUGACAUUCUUUGGUGUUCUUUGGCACGUAGCUGUGUCACUCCAACCUCUGCCUUCAUAGUCACAUUGGCUUCUGUGUAUGUCUCAAAUAACUCUCUGUUUCUCUGUUAUAUGGAUGGUAUUUAGGGCCCACCCAGCUAAUCCAAGAUGAUGUCCUCAUCUCAAGAUCCUGAACUUCAUCACAUCUACAAAGACUCUUUUCCAAAUAAGGUCACACUUCUGGGCUCCAGAGAUUGAGACAUAGACAAACCUUGGGGAAGAGGGAUGGUGGUUAUUUCUCGGCCUACCAACCAUGACAAGCUCAAGGUCCAGGGAGAUUUGAGACAUGCAGGAGAGUGCACCCCUGUUCCACAAGGGCAAGUAGUCCAAUUGAGAAGUCAUCACUCACAUGCAAUACUGUCAAGGAACAACACAAGCCAGGAGGUAGCAAGCAUAGAGAGCCUGUGUAGCCUUGGGAAAAGAGCAGGGGCUCUGGACCUCGACGCCCUGGGUUCACAUCCAAGCCUUACCACCUGCCAGCCAGGGAACCUUGAACAAAUUAUUUAAUGUCUCUGGGGAAAAUUAUACUUACUGUAUAGGUAUGUUAUAAAGAUUAAGUAUAGGCCAGGUUCAGUGGUUCACACCUCUAGUCCCAGCACUUUGGGAGGCCAAGGUGGGAGGAUCACUUGGGGUCAGGAGUUGGAGACUAGCCUGGGCCACAUAGCAAGACCCAGUCUCUACAAAAACAAAAAAAUUAGCCAGGGUGGUGGCACACCCCUGUAGUCCCAGCUACUUGGGAGGCUGAGGUGGGAGGAUUGCUUGAAUCCAGGAGUUGCAGUCUGAAAUGAGCUAUGAUUGCACCAUUGCACUCUGGCCUGGGUGACAGAACAAGACCCUAUCUCCCCAAAAUAAAAAUCUAAAAAAAGAUUAGCUAUAAUAUGUUCAGUGACUAGCAUCUAAUAGGCGCUUAUGAUUCAGCAGCAAAUAAACGGGACAGCAAAAGGCAAGUGUGUGUGUGUACAUGCAUACGUGUCUGGCACUGUCUGCUAAGACAGUUUUGGAGACUACUAGGAGCAUGUACCAGAACAUGAUGGCGUAACUAGAGUGAUUCUCCACUGAAUGAUGAAGGACCAAGAACAGAAAAGUGAAAUGACUUGCUCCAGUUUGCACAGGAGGUCAUCACACAGAUGGGUCUAGAACCAAGGUUUUCUAGAAAGCAUUUUCCUCCACUUCCCAAAACUUUUGCUGUCAGGAUGAAUUUUUUGGAUGAUAUUUCUACAGACAGCAAGGGACGUCCGUUUACACCCUUGGUUUAGCCAGAGAAUAUUGCAGAUGACCAAGCCCACAGGCUCACACAAAUCCAACCCUUCAGGCUGUCUUUAGCUUGAUGCUCCACAACCAUGGGUUGACACAAUCACCAACAGAGAAAGGGAAGCUAGAUAGCCCUUCUUCACUCUCCACUGCUCAGCGGGCAUCCCUCCACAUGGAUGGUUCCUUUGAGUGUGGCUUUUGCCAUAAAAAUGAGAUAAGAGGGACAGAGGAAAUGCUCUUUACUGCCAACUCUCUGCUCCUAUGUACAGAUCUUCACCUGAGUCAAUGUUUAACCCCUGACUGGAGUCAAUGUUUAAUCCCAGGCCAGCCAGCCCUGCAAUCCAGCAUUCCUCAUCUAGCCUAAAAUACAGAGUCAUUUUAGAAUCAACCACUGAAGAAUAAAAUUGUGACUGAAUUUGCCAAAGCUAAAUAAACUCUCCCCCCCUUUUUAGAGGAUACUGGCUGUUUGGAAUUAUUCAUGCUACCUGUUCCCAUUAGCAGAUAGUGGUAUGGCGUUUGCUGACCCUAGCUGUCACUCAGUGGUAGGAGCACAGCGUUUAUUCUUCCUGUUUCAGUUCUUCCUUUUGGGCUGGGGGAGAAGAGCAUUGGGUGGGGACCACUGCCCUUGUUACCCAGCUGGCAAUGCUGCUGGCUGGCAACAUGCUUCCUUGUGAAGCCACUACUUGGAAUCCCACUAGGGGAGCUGGAACUUGAAUGUUCCGGUUGGCUGCAUUUAGGCAUGUUUUCUGGGAGUUUCUGAGCCCAGAUUUAUGUUCAAAGGCCUAAACCUUUUCCCAGGUGAGUCUCCCUAUUAAGGGGCAGGUGGGAGAGGGAAGAGUUCAUUAGAAAGACCCUGACUAUUGGUGAUUCUCUAGGGGCUUCCUAGAGUCCUUCCUAAAGAGCUCAGGGCAUAUGGCAUGUACAAAUGGGCAGCAUUGUGUCAACUCUAAGAACAACAUUAAUCAGGGAAGUCAAAGGAUGGCAAGCUGGGUGGUAGCGUGCAGGGACGUGAAGAGGGAAGGAAGGCCGCUGUCAGAUUAGCAGCUCUAGUCUUCAGUUGGUGUUGGAGAGGUGACUCACUGGCCAAACGUGUGCAUGCAAUGCUCAAAUCUUUUCACUUUCCUCUAUGAACACACUGAGGCCCUGCCUUCUCCUUGACCACCUGCCUCCCUGUGUCACUGCCCUGAUGUCCCAUUCUUCACUGUUUUCCUAGCUCAGCUGCCUCUCAGUCAGAAAGUGAAAACAACAUUUCUUCUGGGGCUCCCAGAGUGGGGAGGUUGUUGCUACCCUUUCUCAUUUUGGCUGGUGAAAGAGUGAAGGUAGAAACUGUGGUAAGAGCCCCCUGAGAUUGCCUGUGUCCAGCCCUGAGGAGCCUGCCGUGGGGAGCGGGGAGUGAAGUGGAACAUAAAAGGCCCUGGAGGCUGGGUGUGGUGGCCCACACCUGUAAUCCCAGCACUUCAGGAGGCCAAGUGAGGCGAUCACUUGAGGCCAGGAGUUCGAGACCAGCCUGGCCAACAUUGUGAAAAAUACUCUACUAAAAAUACAAAAGUUAACCGCGCAUGCUGGCGUGCUCCUGUAAUCCCAGCUACUCAGGUGGCUGAGGUAGGAGGACUGCUUGAACCCUGGAGGUGGAGGUUACAGUGAGCCAAGAUUGUGCCACUGCACUCCAGCCUGGACGAGGGAGCGAGAGUCUGUCUCAAAAAUAAAUAAAUAAAAAAAAUAUUUAAAAAAAAAAAAAGAAAGAAAAAGGCCCUGGAAAUGGAAAGUCAGCCAUGGUCCAAAAGCUCUCUCAAUUCUUCUUUGGGUCUAGUCUCUACACUCCAAAGAGCUUUGAUUCUCUGUUUCUGAGAGGCAGGGACAUAUGAGCAAACCUUUUUUGAGGUUACCCAACCAUUGUCCUAUGUGCUGUUACCUCCACACCCUGGCUAGGGAGAAGCGGAAGGAGGAAGAUUUUUGGAGUAGACAUCCAAAGUCAAUAGGUGGAGUGUCAGGUGACUGGGCCCAGCCCCUCUCAUAAGCCACUGGGGUCCUGCUGAAGACUUGCUGUUUCCUUGUUCCUGGUCUGAGCCUGGCUCUCGGCCCAAGGCUUGCCUGACAGGCAGCGAUUGGAAAAAUAGCCCCUGUAAUCCCCUGCAGCCUGUGUUCAUCUGAGCCUCAAUGUUCCCAUCUCUAGAAUGGGAGUAUGUUUCUUUUUGGUGAUGUAUAUUGUAAUUAAUUUGUAGUUGUCUGUACUCCACUGGCAGAGGUAGGGAAGGAAAGUGCUGGCCCCAUAAAAUGUUUAGAUUAGUUGCAUUUGCUAAUCAGUCUGAUCUUCCCAUGCCAGGCCCUAAAGAAGCCACAGUCUGAAUUCUUUUUCUUGAACUCUUGUCUGAAAUGAAACACAGUAUCUUCAGACAAAUUAGAGCAUUCUGAAAACACCUUUGGACACAGUAGUCCUAGCUUUCUUCCUCUUCUCUAAAGUACUCAAGGUUAGGAAGCCAGAAGUUUGCCACUCAGGGAAAGAAGUAGCCUUUGUUUGACCCUCUAUGCUCACAGCAGAACUGGUAGAUCUGGAUAGAGGUAGCAAGUAAGUGAGCAGUGGGAACAAGGCCAGAGGUGGCAGAGGCAGAACAUAGAAGAGUUCAGAUCCUACUCAGUAAAUGUGUGUCUUUUUGUUGUUGUUGUUUGUAGAGAUGAGGUCUCACUAUGUUGCCCAGGCUGGUCUCAAGCGCCUGGCAUCAAGUGAUCCUCCUGCCUCACGCUCCCACAGUGCUGGGUUUACAGGCAUGAGCCACGGUGCCUGGCUUCAAUCAAUGUCUUUGAUGCAAUGCAUCCAGGAGGCAAACAGUGGUCUGCAGGCCAGGGGCAUUGGCACUGGUGAUCACCACAUGCCUGUAGAGGUGCAGCAUGGGGUUCUCUCCUAAGGCUGCCGCUUCUCUGCUGCCCACAUGGGUUUCAGCUGGCCCCUUAGAGAGUAGGCAGUAGGAUGACAGCUCAUCAUACUGCUGACAGUGAAGGGAGCAGGCUGGCCCGGGAAGGCCAGCACCUGUAAACCAAGCUGUGUCACUGUAUGAAAAAUGAAGAGCUUGGUGGUGCUGGACCCUGAAUGCAGGGUUUGUUUCUUUCUGAGUAGAAUCUCCAUUCUCCAUUCCACAUUAGUCAUGCUUUCAGCUCUGGGAUAUCUGUACCAGGUGAGCACAAUCAAAUAACCUGUGUCUACUUGGCUGCAGUGCGUUAUGGGUCUCUCUGUGGAGGUAUCUUCCCCUAGGGCCUGACUGAGGCUGUUAUUAAACUGAUUUUUUAUGUCUCAGACCACAGUGGGCUAUUGGAGGAGAGGAAGAAACCUCCAACGUAUUA